UUUUUUUUUUUUUUUUUUUUUUGUCUUUUUGCCAUUUCUUGGGCCGCUCCUGCGGCACAUGGAGGUUCCCAGGCUAGGGGUUGAAUCGGAGCUGUAGCCGCUGGACCACGCCAGAGCCACAGCAACGCCAGAUCUGAGCCUUGUCUGCAACCUACACCACAGCUCACGGCAAUGCCAGAUCCUUAACCCACUGAGUGAGGCCAGGGAUCAAACCCGAAACCUCAUGGUUCCUAGUCAGAUUUGCUAACCAGAGCCACAACGGGAACUCCUGUACCACAUCUUCUUGAGCCACUCCUCUGUCGUUGGACAUUUAGGUUGUUUCCAUGUCUUGGCUAUUGCAAAUAGUGCUUCAAUGAACAUCAGAGUACAUGUGUCUUUGCGAGUCAGGGUUUUCUCUGGAUAGAUGCUCAGGAGUGGGAUUGCUGGAUCAAAUGGUAGCUCUAUGUUUAGUUUUCUGAGGAAUCUUCAUACUGUUUUCCACAGUGGUUGCACCAAGUUACAGUCUCACCAACAGUGUAAGAGGGGUCCUUUUUCUCCACACCCUCUCCAGCACUAAUUGUUUGUAGACUUUUGGAUGAUGGCCAUUCUGGCUGGUGUAAGGUGGUACCUCAUAGUGGUUUUGAUGUGCAUUUCUCUAAUAAUGAGCGAUGUUGAACAUUUUUCAUGUGUUUCUUGGCAUGUCUUCUUUGGAGAACUGUCUUCUUUGGAGAACUGUCUGUUUCGAUCUUCCACCCAUUUUUUGAUGGGUUUUGUUUUUUUUUUUUGGUAUGGAGCUGCAGAAGGUGUUUAUAAAUUUUGGAGAUUAAUCCCUUGUCAGUCGCUUCACUUGCAAAGAUUUUCUCCCAUUCUGUGGGUUGUCUUUUCAUUUUGUUUAGGGUUUCCUUUGCUGUGCAGAAACUUUUCAGUUGGAUUAGGUCCCGUUUAUUUUUGCUUUUAUUGUCAAUACCGUAAGAGGUGGAUCUGAGAAGAUGUUGCUAUCGUUUAUGUCAGAGAGUGUUUGGCCUAUGUUUUCCUCUAGGAGUUUGAUAGUGUCUGGUCUUAUAUCUAGGUCUUUAAUCUAUUUGGAGUUUAUUUUUGUGUAUGGUGUUAGGGAGUGUUCUGAUUUCAUUCUUUUCCAUGUGGCUGUCCAGUUUUCCCAGCACCACUGAUUGAACAAGCUGUCCUUUCUCCAUUGUAUCUUCUUGCCUCCUUUGUCAUAGAUGAGUUGACUGUAGGUGCGUGGGUUUAAUUCUGGUCUUUCUAUCCUGUUCUGCUGAUCUGUAUUUCUGUCUUUGUGCCAGUACCAUGUGGUUUUGAUGACUGUUGCUUUGUAGUAUAGUCUGAAGUUCUGGGAGCCUGAUUCCUCUAGCUCCAUUUUUCUUUUUCAGGAUGUCUUUGGCUAUUCUGGGUCUCUUGUGCUUCCAAACAAACUUUAAAAUAUUUUGUUCAAGUUCUGUGAAAAAUGUCGUUGGUAAUUUGAUAAGGAUUGCAUUGAAUCUGUAUAUUGACUUAGGUGGUAUAGUCAUUUUGAUAAACAUUUCCCUUUUCAUCAUUACAUGGUAGAAUGAAUGUUUAGAUGGCCCUCUCUGAUUAUUAUUUACAUUUACUACUGUAUUAAUGUAUGAAGAUCACAAAGUGGCUAAAAAUGAUCAGAAGGUGGGAUUUAUUACAGGAUGACUAUAAUUAUUUCAUACUGAUGAUAGGUCUCCAAAAUUGGAGCUAUAGCCGCCAGCCUACACCACAGCCACAGCAAUGCCAGAUCUGACUCACGUCUGGGACCUACACCACAGCUCAUGGCAAUGCCAGAUUCCCAACCCACUGAGGAGGCUAGAGAUCGAAUCCACAACCUCAUGGUUAUCAGUCGGACUCGUUUCUACUGCACCACAAUGGGAACUCCUAGCAGUAAUUUAAUAUUUCAGUUUCUACAACUUUGUGGUAGGAAAGAAAGGUGAAAGGAUUUAGAAAGAGCUGAGAACACCAGGUACAGACAGGAGUUUGUGUUUAAACACAAUUUUCUGAAGUUCUCUUCUGACAACUGCUAAGUUAAGGACAGAAAACCUGGGUGCUAAGGUAAAGCUUGAACAUCAUGGUCCCAGCCCUUUUUAAAUCAGUAUUCCAAAAGAAAACCGAUGACAUCAAAGAAGAGGCUAGUUUGUGGUAUUUUAUAUACAAAGGGACUGUUUUUUCUUUUUUCUUUCUUUCUUUUUUUUUUUUGUCUUUUUGCUGUUUCUUGGGCCAUUCCCAUGGCAUAUGGAGGUUCCAAAGCCAGGGGUCCAAUCAGAGCUGUUGCUGCUGGCCUAUGCCACAGCCACAGCAACACCAGAUUUGAGCUACGUCUGUGACCUACACCACAGUUCAUGGCAAUGCCAGAUCCUUAACCCCCUGAGCGAGGCUGGGGAUCGGACCUGCAACCUCAUGGUUCCUAGUUGGAUUCGUUUCCGCUGAGCACAAGAACUCCUGUUUUAGAAAUUUUAAGUAAACGAUGUAUUUACCAGGGGUAGGCUUGUUACCUCCAUUCAUUCACUAAUGCUUUCAUUAACUUUCAUUUUAAAAGAUGCAUUGAACAACCACUUACUCUACUAUACAUCUGGGGAGUAAAAACAAAUAAAAUCGAGACUUGUUUCCUUUCCUCAAGAUGCUCCCCAUCCGGUAAUGUGGGAGCAGAUAAGGAACACCUGAGAAGAAGGUACGUUGGCAUUCAAGAGACAUCCAGAUAAAAACACAUGUGUAAAGAUGCUCAUUAAAUACAAAUUGUAGGAGUUCUCUUGUGGUGCAGCAGGUUAAGGACCUGGCGAUGUCACUGUAGUGGAUCAGGCUGCCGCUGUGGCAUGGGUUCGUCCCUGGCCUGGGAAGUUCCACAUGCCUCAGGCAUGGCCAAAAAAAAGUUGUAGGUGGCAACCCAGUGUGGGUGCCAAAAGAAGAAAGAAGAAAAGAAACAGGAGGAGAUGAAGAAAGAAGACAAGAAGAAAGGGAAGUGACAUCAUAAGUCCUUGAGCUCCUAAGCUUUUCCCUCUGCAACACACACAGUGGGCACUGUUCACUGAUAUGCGGUUCCCCCCAGGGUGCUUGACUUAGGGGCUGUGGCCUAGAUAAGGUAUUUGCAAUUUCUGGUGCAAAACUAUACCAUUCUUUUCUCUCCCACAUUGGAAGGCCAUUAUCAUAGAGAAAACCUGGAGUCAUUUCUAAUAUAUACGAAAAGCAAACUAUUUUCAAACUUUGGUUCUUCAAUUCCUAUUCAGAGCAAUUUGCACAGAAGUAACUCACCAUAACCACAUGACAACUAUGACAGGUCUUGUCUGUGCCUCGUGCAGGGGCCACCAUCAAUCUUCCUUCUUCACAGACGUGAUUUUGUGGAGCAUUUAGCAGUGUUCUCCCCAGCAUGGUUGAUGGUCUAUUUGUGGUAGGUGAGUGGCAACAGAGAGAAAAACAAACUCAAAAAUCAGCAGCUUCUGCAUUCAAAAAAUUGGCAAUACAAGACCAAAGUGGAGACUAAAGAGUGAAAAGAAUAAAACUGCAAUUGCGCUAACAUAGUGACCACUGUGCUUCUUCUUGUUUCCAAUAGAAAUGUAUGAUAGAUCUCUUUUAGCAAAUAAGAAACCCACCACCAGUUAGAUAUUUGACACUGGCCAGUUUUAUUAGUUUCUAGGGCUUAGCCUAUACUCAAAGCCAGUAUUAAAAGCAAAAAAAAAAAAAAAAAAAAAAAAAAAAAAAAAAAAAAAAAACAAAAAACAAACAAACAAACAAAAAAAAACCAGUAGGUAACUUUCUUUCAGGUCUAAAACUGUAUACUUGUGUAUUUAGAAAAACAGUAAUUGAGGAUAAGUACACUACACUGAAAAGCAUGAUGCAUUCAAGUUCUUCUCACUCAUAAAUUGACAAUAAGUUCUCCAAAAUCAGGUAACUGGGAGGCUUGGCUGUUAAAUGAAUAGUGGAAACUUUUCAUGAGGGGAACUAUUCCUUUCAAGUUUGAAUCUCUUCACAUUCUGCCAUUCUUAAAGUGGCUGGUUUGCUCUUCCAAUAGGGUGCAAGCCUAAUACAACAUCUUGGUGCAAAUUAGGAAGUGCCCCCUCAGGGAUCACGCAGCCCUGCCAACUUGUGGCUCUGUGUGAAAAGGAAGGAUCCCCUCACUCUGGGCCCCAGGCCACCGAACAGCAGCCCUACUCACCCCAUGGGCACCCAGGUGCCUUGAUUCCAGUGCCAGAAAAUAUGGCUUCCCAAACAAUACACCGAACACCUCCCAAUGCUGGGCACUUGGCCAGGCACUGGAAAUAAAAAAAGGAAUAAAACAGAGUCUACUUUUGGAGCCUGGGAAGAGGGCCAUGUAAACAGAUUACCACAAUGAGAAAGAACUAGUAAAGUGAUCAAAGAGAAGCACACACAAGUUGCUACUGAAUCACAAAAGAAGGAACCACUCAUUUCUCUUCGAUGUGGCCUGAUCAAGGAAAAUUAGAAAGGAAGAGGUAUUUGAACUGGGGUUCAAUGGGUAAGGAGUAGAAGUUUAUGAGGCAAGAAAAGGGUAGUAUGACUUUUGGUGACAAGGACAAGCUCGAGAGUUUCUUCCGGUACCCCAAACUCAGGGAAGCUUCAGUUGCAGCUUUAUCACUUUGAUCUAGGUCUUGGGUCCCCACCAUUCUGUUGGGUUUGUCUAUGUCUCUUUUUGCUUUUGAAGUGAUGCAGACGAGCUCAGCAGUGGGGCUUGUAUAAACAGAGUAAUAAACAGUGUUCACUUGCCAGAACUGUCCCCCUGCAUAGCUCUCUCGGGAGUCUGAAGAGGCAGGAGGUGACUGGUCAAAGGCUGGGGAUUUGGGACUGCGGCCAGAUGGCCUCCUCGAAGACACAGCACACAAGGACAUUCCAGGAAGCGGGAGCAGAAUAAUCCCACAGUAUUUUGUUUGCCAGAUGGAAAUAUCCUCAGCGACAAACAUUUAAUUUGCCUGCAGGUGUGACCUUUGGUUAUGCAACAGAAUUGUGGAUUAGCUAGAACUGACUUUUUGAAAGACCUAGAUUGCUUAUUUCCCUAGAAGGAUCAGUUAGUUUUGCUCAGAAAAGCUGUUCUAAGACCACAGGCUACAUUCCUAACUCUAGUGAACCUUCCCCCUUGUUGGCCCGUGUGACUGGUUGCUAGAAGACUCAGGAGGGAGCAUGUGCAUAGCACAGGCCACAUGAGCCACUAUCACUCUCAGAUAAGCAACUCUGUGUGUGUCCUUCUGGCAGGAAGUCAGAUACGUCUUUUCUGGGCUGUUAAGGGAGAGCAGUCACAUGCAGGCUUCCGAUACACUGUCCUGGGGCGCAAGGGUCAGAGGCAAUGAACUUUAUUUCUUUCCCUAGAGGUAGGCACUCUGACACUGCUGUGAUGUUCUGAAAUGUUCGUGUCCUCUGAACUUAUUUGUGGAGUUCAAGAUGGACUAGAAGCUUCACCGGGCACUGUUCUGCACAACAGCAACAUCAAAAACAAACCUGCUGACUGUGAUUAGUUCCAAACCAGCAGUUCCAGAUCACACACUCAUAAACCAUUCUCCUUUGAUAACCCUGAUGUUGAAACAAAAGGUGGUGGUGACUUAUGCAGCAUCGGCCCCCAGGAACUGCCCGAGGGCCUCGUUGCAACAAUCUGAUAACCACAGAAAGCACUCGGGGGGUGGGGGUGAGUCGUGGCUCCCGCCCAUGUUUGUGAGUCUCUGGUGCCCAAAACACUCCUUCAGAAGCUCCCACUGAAUGGGGAGUGGAAAACUCUAGUCCACAUUAGUACUGAGGAAGAAAUCAUCGCAGAGAAUGAGUGACAAACUCUAGAACGCUUUGUAAACACAAAAAGAACAUUCCCACAACAGGCACAUUUAAAACAUGACAGGUCAAAAAUAAAGACCAAGGGCAGUCACAGAGUCAAGGGUGUGUCAGCCCAUAUUUAAGGAUCCUGCUAAAGGGGAUCACAUGUCGAAUAUCAUUGGGAAAAUACCGUAUACCAAGAUACCUUCGAUCACCUUAUAAAGACCACAUUCUUCAGCUCAGGAAUGUGAAAAAGACACCCCCAUUCCACUAGCUGCAUAUGCCAAAAAUCUAGGCCAUCAUUUAUUUCUCUUUUCUCCGUCACCUCUCCUCAUCAAUCUGUCUGUUAAGCCAACCUCCAAAUUAUAUAUUGAGGAGUUCCUGCUGUGGCUCAGUGGAAACGAAUAUGACUAGUGUCCAUGAGGAUGCAGGUUUGAUCCCUGGCCUUGAUCAGAGGGUUAAGGAUCUGGUGUUGCUGUGAGCUGUGUUGUAGGUGGCAUACGUGGUUUGGAUCUGGCGUUGCUGUGGCUGUGGCAUAGGCCAGCAGAUACAGGCGCAGNAAAAAAAAAAAAAAAAAAAAAAAAAAAAAAA
This 6330-nucleotide long non-coding RNA is filed under the name Sus scrofa (pig). RNAcentral describes it as "lncRNA (ENSSSCG00045024618.1)". The record is from RNAcentral. Lineage: Eukaryota; Metazoa; Chordata; Mammalia; Artiodactyla; Suidae.